Molecule: long non-coding RNA, 211 nt
Filed under: Lathyrus oleraceus (garden pea)
Lineage: Eukaryota; Viridiplantae; Streptophyta; Magnoliopsida; Fabales; Fabaceae
Description: Pisum sativum (pea) long non-coding RNA (PSAT_LNC036941)
Source: RNAcentral
AAAAGUAAUACAAGAAAUGCCUGAACCGAAAACAGAAAAAAGAGGUUCGUGGUCUCCUAGGUAGAUUGAACUACAUUUCACGGUUCACAUCUCAUCUAACAGCCACGUGUGAACCCAUUCAAGUCGUGAAAGAAAAAAUCAAACGGUCAAGUGGAAUAAUGAUUGCCAAGGGGCAUUGAGAAAUAAAAGAAUAGUUGCAGGAGCCUCCGAU